This 723-nucleotide small RNA is filed under the name Pongo abelii (Sumatran orangutan). RNAcentral's name for it is "retained intron". The record is from RNAcentral. Lineage: Eukaryota; Metazoa; Chordata; Mammalia; Primates; Hominidae.
GACACGCAUCCCCUACCCCUGGUGGAGGUGGUUGUGCCAACAGGGGCUGCCGGUAACCUUGCAGCUGGGUACAUUGCUCAGAAGAUAGGCCUGCCCGUCCGUCUGGUCGUGGCAGUGAACGGCAAUGACAUCAUCCACAGGACUGUCCAGCAGGGAGACUUCUCUCUCUCUGAGGCUGUUAAAUCAACCUUGGCAUCAGCUAUGGACAUUCAGGUGCCCUACAACAUGGAGAGGGUAUUCUGGCUGCUCUCUGGCUCUGACAGCCAGGUGACAAGAGCCCUCAUGGAGCAGUUUGAAAGGACCCAAAGUGUGAAUCUGCCCAAGGAACUGCACAGCAAGGUCAGUCACUACCCACACACCACAGAGAAAGGAAAGGGUACAGGCACAUAGCAGACUUGGGGUUUGGAAGUCUGGUCAAGGGAAGAGGACACCUGUUUCUUGAGUACCUGCUAUGAGCCUGUCACUUUUAUGGCCACUUUACAUGGAAUAAUUUAUUGAAUGAGGAGAGGUAAUAGAGAAAAUGGUUUAGAGUCAAACAGGCUCAAUUCCAAGUAAGCUAUGAGACAUUGGGCUAGUUUCCUAAACUCUUUGCUUCAGUUCCUUCAUUUAUAAAAUGGGGAUAGUAAGAAUGCCUACCUCAUAGAGUUCUUGUGAGAUUUCAGUCAAAUAAUAUAUGUGAAGCACUUUGCAUACUUCCUGGUAAUAUAUGGCUUGAUACAUUAG